Molecule: microRNA, 22 nt
Filed under: Macaca mulatta (Rhesus monkey)
Lineage: Eukaryota; Metazoa; Chordata; Mammalia; Primates; Cercopithecidae
Description: mml-miR-660-3p
Gene: mml-miR-660-3p
Source: miRBase by way of RNAcentral
ACCUCCUGUGUGCAUGGAUUAC